This 374-nucleotide ribosomal RNA is filed under the name uncultured organism. Its description in RNAcentral is "partial 16S ribosomal RNA". It matches the Rfam family "Bacterial small subunit ribosomal RNA", at positions 527 to 896 of the family's 1533-position model. The record is from RNAcentral.
GUAGGUGGCAAGCGUUGUCCGGAAUUAUUGGGCGUAAAGCGCGCGCAGGCGGUUCUUUAAGUCUGAUGUGAAAGCCCACGGCUCAACCGUGGAGGGUCAUUGGAAACUGGAGAACUUGAGUACAGAAGAGGAAAGCGGAAUUCCACGUGUAGCGGUGGAAUGCGUAGAGAUGUGGAGGAACACCAGUGGCGAAGGCGGCUUUCUGGUCUGUAACUGACGCUGAGGCGCGAAAGCGUGGGGAGCAAACAGGGAUUAGAUACCCUGGUAGUCCACGCCGUAAACGAUGAGUGCUAAGUGUUAGGGGGGUUUCCGCCCCCUUAGUGCUGCAGCUAACGCAUUAAGCACUCCGCCUGGGGAGUACGGCCGCAAGGCUG